Non-coding RNA from Ictidomys tridecemlineatus (thirteen-lined ground squirrel), 715 nucleotides. NCBI's taxonomy places the organism in Eukaryota, Metazoa, Chordata, Mammalia, Rodentia, Sciuridae. The record is from RefSeq and is a predicted model, not a curated record.
UCCUAGCUGUCGCGCUACGUGACGGUGGCCUAUCGUGCCGUUUCCUCAAAGUUUCAGGAUUCAUUGUCAUAUCUUCUGUGGUCUCCUUUUGGCUACCUCGGCUCAGCACUUCGCCUGAGGUCCCGAUACCGCUUCUGAGUGCAGUUACAGCUUGCGGCCGGCCUCCGGUCACAAGGGUUUUUUGCCGUUUGAGAGGAUUUGCAACCUGAGGUCACUCUAAAGGAUGGGCCUGUGGAGUCACAAAAGAGAAAAUGGACUCACUGAGGAGAGGAAGACUUUGAAAGGCCUAGCCCCUAGUCAGACACCUGAAAUGAGACCAUCCUGCGGCCGAGCUCGCAGCUCAGUACCUGCCUUCCCCUCGUCCACUUCUCGGACUACUUGGCUAGCACAGGCCCAGGGGUGGAAGCGGAGGCCGACUCUGGGCUGAGCGCGCUGCAGUAAGACUCCCUGAUUUGCCGAGGUGCUAAUCUGGAAAGUCAGUGCGCCACGUGGGCUGAAAUCAAGGGCUCCUCCAAGAAGUCCUCGUACCUGUUGAGUUUUCCGCAAAAUGGGCGGAACCACGUGGCUCUGAAAGUACCGGCGAGUGUGGUAGUCCUGCUGUGCAUUGUAGGGCGGAAUAGCCGACCAGAGUUUGGGCCUAGUGUAGCCAUAGGCACGGGACACGGUGCUCACGGCUACCCCAUCCAAAAUAAAGCCCUUCUCCAAUCGCAGAGGA